AAUCAACGCUGGCGGCGUGCCUCAGACAUGCAAGUCGAACGAUUAAACUUUCCUUCGGGAAAGAUAUAAAGUGGCGCACGGGUGAGUAACACGUAAGUAAUCUACCUUCGAGUGGGGAAUAACGUUCGGAAACGAACGCUAAUACCGCAUAAUGCAGCGGCACCUAAUGGUGACAGUUGUUAAAGGAGCAAUUCGCUUGAAGAGGAGCUUGCGGCAGAUUAGCUAGUUGGAAGGUAACGGCUUACCAAGGCUACGAUCUGUAACCGGUCUAAGAGGACGGUCGGUCACACUGACACUGAAUAACGGGUCAGACUCCUACGGGAGGCAGCAGUCGGGAAUUUUGGGUCAAUGGGCGAAAGCCUGACCCAGCAACGCCGCGUGAAGGAUGAAGUAUUUCGGUAUAGUAACUUCGAAAGAAUGGGAAGAAUCAAUGACGGUACCAUUUAUAAGGUCCGGCUAACUACGUG
Molecule: ribosomal RNA, 467 nt
Filed under: uncultured bacterium
Lineage: Bacteria
Description: bacterial SSU rRNA
Rfam family: Bacterial small subunit ribosomal RNA
Source: RNAcentral